GGCUGGCCCCUGGGGCUAGGGCUCUGGCACCCCUUUCCUCUUCCAGGGCUUCCUGCUUGAACCGGCAGGGGGCAGCAGCUGCCUUGUCCCUCCAUGGUCUGAUUGAGACAGUCUCUUGGGCCUGUGACUACUGGAUCCAUGAUUCUGUGACCAGAGCGUCCCCGUUUCAGGCACCUUUCAGCUGCGUGUUCCUGGGGUGGAAGAAUGAAAAGUGUUUUUGAAAAGAUAGCCUAACUGUCACACAUCACAAUAGAAAAGUGUGUUCCCAGCAAGAGACAGAACUUCCUCCAUGAACUAGGUGAGCUGCGAGGGAACUCCAUUUUAUAAACAUCCAGCCUGUCAGAGGUUCCGUCAUUACCGUAGUUCUGUGGUCGGCAUCCUGUCGGUCAGUCCCUCGCAGAUGCCCCCUUCUAACCUAUGGCAUCAUGGAUAGAACAGGUCCAAAUCUGGUAUAUAACAGCCAUCACAUGGCCUGCUCAGGAAUCAUUGCGAAAGGAUCAUUUGCAUAAGACUUCAGCAGGUUGGACAAGCAAAACCAACGCCCAAAGCUGGCUUUGCCAACAACAGCAUCCUGCCAGAACUGCCCUUCAGCAAGGAAGUACUCAGAAUUGAGAUGAAUCUGAGCAUAUCUUCCUGAGAAGAGUAGUCAUUUCCAGAAGAGGAACAAGAUUCACAAGUGCAGCACCAGCAUGCACCUGGCUCUGGUGAGAGCUCUCUGGCUACAUCGCAGUCUGGCUGACAGCAUCAUGCUGGACUCCCGUGCAAGAGGAAGCAGUCACGUGUUGACUUAGAGAAACUCAGAAGCCAGGUUUCCUCUCUGGUAACAAUUCACUGGCAAACUGGUGACAUCUUGAGGCCUCCCUUCCAAAUAGACUCAACAUCUCCUAAUAAGGCCACUCUGCCCUAAAACCACAAUGCUGUGAUUGCAGUAAUAGCAGCAGGCAGCACACCACCUGCAUUUUGGGCUCUGCAGAUGUCCCCCAGAUGUCUUUUAUACGGGGAGCAUUUUUCCCCUACCCAGGAUGCAAUCAAGAUUCAUGACUAAACAUGGCUCUUUAGUCAGUGCGUCUUUUGUCUAAAAUAGAUCUUUCCUUGCCUUUUUAC
Long non-coding RNA from Mastomys coucha (southern multimammate mouse), 1104 nucleotides. RefSeq lists it as uncharacterized. Lineage: Eukaryota; Metazoa; Chordata; Mammalia; Rodentia; Muridae. The transcript is spliced from 7 exons. The record is from RefSeq and is a predicted model, not a curated record.